Molecule: long non-coding RNA, 7399 nt
Filed under: Manihot esculenta (cassava)
Lineage: Eukaryota; Viridiplantae; Streptophyta; Magnoliopsida; Malpighiales; Euphorbiaceae
Description: long non-coding RNA (MESC_LNC003521)
Source: RNAcentral
CAGGAACAAGUUCAUGGAAGCGACGGAUUUCAUCACCCCACCAUUCAACAGUUUUUGGAUUGAGGAAGUCCGGAAAAUUGACAGCUCCAGGCCAAACUUGGGCUAAGAAUGGCUUACCAUGAUGCUUGAUAAAUACAUCAUUGGCAAUGCCUCUUUGAUAUACACCAUAAGUAGAAUUAACACCAAUUCCAGGAUCAAUAAUUACAACGUACUUCAUUCCAAUGCUGUGUAUUUUCUCUAGGAAUGCCAGGAGCUUUGGACGAGGGUAGUUGGUGGGGUUGAGAGUAAAAUCCUUAUGGCCAUCCAUAUGAUCAUCAUCAUUCCAGAUCACAUCCAAAGGGAUCUGAGCCUUUUUGUAAUUCUCGACCACGUCUUCAACUACAGACAGGUUAUGGUAGCCCCAUCUGCACUGGUGGAAUCCUGUAAAACCAAAUGAAAAGACCAUUAGAAUGGUUUUUCUCAAUUUAGUACAAUAUGCAGUUUUAAACAUGUCACAAGUUAGAUGCAUAAAGGAUGUUAAACAUAACAUCCCACAACACUUGUUUUCUGAUUGCAAACGUUGCUGGCACUAUUAUUAGUCUAUAGUUAACUUGUUACUUCCACAAAGACGAUUGACUCCAAAAGUAUUAAAAGAGGGACAACCAAGUAUGAUAUGGUCAUAUAUACUUUCUCCACACUGAAAAAUAGAAGAAUUGUAGGCAAUCUCAUAAAAGAAAAAUAGAUCUAUCAGGCCUGGCAAACACACACAUUAUAUCUGUUCUGGGAUGGAUUCGGUAUUUUACAAAGUUACUCACUGAUCCUACACUUUUUUUGUAUAGUGAGCUCCGAUUGGACUCCUCAAACUCGAGGCAUCACAAUCCUGGAAACGAGUUCAGUACCAAUAAGCUAAAGUCCAUUGGUUGAUCAUAAACAUUUUCAAUUAUUCAAGCAAUAAGAAAAUUUUGACAACUCAACAUCUCAGUUCAGUCAUAUAAUUUGUAUCUUCUGUGUAUUCUCCAUGAUGAAAAAAGCAAUUCAAACAGCUCUUCUGAGGUAGGUGAAUCAAAGAUCUUUUAUACUAGGAGCAUAUACUUUAGAAGAUGUCUAAAUUGUGGAAAUAAAUCUAGCAACUUUAACAAAAUGCAAGAACUAAUGAACCAAAUUGUAACAUCACCAUUUUAAAAGAAAUACAACCCAUAGUUACGUGUGACAAACCUCAGGCUUCACAUGUGCCCAUGCCAGCCUACCCACUAACAUUUAUUAAUUAUUUCAAGCAAUGUCCACUCUGCACCGUCACUAAUUUCAGCUGAAAAGAGGGCCAAAGGUUGGAGUGACUAAUAAACCAGAGAAUCACAUAAAAGACGACAAGGCUGUGGCGAACUUGGAUUUAUACAUACGUCCUGUGAUCCAACAUAGGUAUUUGACUUAUGUUUCAUUCAUCCGCCGACAUGACAAUUGCUAUAAAGCGAGGCAACACCACUGAACGAAGCUUUUUUGCCCGUUUGUGUAAAAUAUAGUUACUCUAAUCAAUAAAGAUCAUUACUGGUGAGCAGAUACUAAAUUGAAUCAAGGAAAGGGAGUUUAGAAUGAAUCAUACCAAGAGCCCAGUAAGGCAUUGGAGCUGGUCGACCUACUAACGUUGUGUAUUGGUCGACGACAGCCAAUGGAGAGGGUCCAGCAAAAAAGUAAAAGUCGAGAACACCCCCAAUAAUCUUGUAUGUGAGCGAAGUCCCUCUGUAGAACACAUCCAUGCCAUUACUGUUAAGAAGAAGGACCGAGUGAGCAGAGGGCUGCCCGUUCACAUUUCUAAGAUCCAUGUACACCGGAUGAGACCCAUACAAAUCAGCAUUAAGAUUAAUGGCUGAGAUAUCAGUAGUAUACAGAGUAUAUGGAUCUCCAGGGUACAAUUUGAUUCCAUGAGGCUGCGUGUUCUCUCCCAGACCGUAGAGUGAAGCAUCUUUAGGCAAUUUUGUGGAUAUCUCCAAAUAUUGGUCUUUGAAGACCAUUUCUCCAAAUGGGUCGGAUUCAUCGGAGCUCGUAUUGAAAAGGGUCUGCCCGUUUGACUUUCUCUUCACUGCAAAACUAAAUGGGUCCUCUUCGUAGCUGAAGAUAAGCUCAGAGCCAGAGAAUUCCUGAACUGUUAUUGAAUUCUUACUCGAUCUCAAAAAAAUUGUUCGAUUCAGUGCCGGCGGUUGCUCUCUGGGCAACAGAUCAUAUGGAACUUCCCAUCUUUUCUUCUCUGCAUCAGUGAUGUGAAUCCUUAAACGAUCUUCUGUUUCAUGCCUGCAAAAACAAAUUUCCGGGAAAGGUACGUUGAGAAUCAUGAACAUACAAAAAUUGCAAAUUGAUUAAAAAAACGCAGUUGCAUACUUGACAAAGAGCUGCAAGAGGGGGAUAUCGGGUCCAUAGAUGUCGUUCUUCUGCUUGACUUGGAGGUAGCCCAAAAUGCCUCCAUCAUGAGUCUCUUCAAUAGAGAUGAGACGAUAGCCAUUUCCAAUCCUAGUAGGCGUGGAGGAUGGUCUUACUCCAUUAAAACACAGGAUCAAAACUAGAAAACAUGAAGCAAAAGUAGUAGAAGGCAACAUUUACUUAAUACUACUAGUAACUAUGAGCUGUCAGAAGAUGCCUAGAGGCUUUCCCCUUUGUUUGGAUGCUUGUAAGAAGGGAAACAAAAGAGGAUAAAAUAAACUUGAUUUAUUUUAUUUUGUAAUACUAUAAAAUCAAAAUUUCUCUUGAUUAAAUUAGUAUGCCUUAUAAAUUAAGAAAUAGGGACCUUACAGGAUAAUGAUAUUUAAAUAUUUUAAUAUAACAAACUAUAAUUUCUUUUUUUUUUCUACAUUUUCUUAAUUGGGAAUGAAAUGAUCUAAACGCAAGAACUUAAAAACUAUAAUUUCUUUUUCUUUUUAAGUUUGAUCUUAUCCAUUUAGAUAAGAUAUUUGAUUUGAUGGAAUUUAGAUAAAGGUAUUAUAAAUAUUUAUUUUAAAAAAAUAAUAAAAUAUUUGAGUUAACUGUUAUUAUGAGGACUUUGGUUUAAAUUAGUUACCAUGAGCGAACAAUUCUUGUCCCUAAGAUCAAGGCCCAUCGUUUUUGCCGAUGGACCUGUUCUAACUAAAAGUGAACUCCACAAAGAAGAACAGAGAUAGAAGAUCGUGGGGGAUCCACGCACAGUAAGCAAAAAUAUCAAUGAGGAAAAUAAUCUAAAGGUCCAAGAAAUCUAACGCCAAAUUUAACAGAUCUCAAAUAUGCAUUACUGCAUUUUAAGCUCUACAACAGUGACAAAUGUCCUAAGCAAGCAAUUGAAUCUAAGCUAACUCAUGAACUUGUUUGCAUGGAAAAGGAUGUGCAAAUCCUCAGCUCAUCUCGUUACCAUCAACAACCUUGGUAAGAAACAUGAAAAGAAUCAACCAUCCAAACUGGAUAACAAUAUCUAAAUAAGUAAAAAUCCGAAACAGAAACCUAGCGACCUCAACGACUGAUUUCCAUUUUCCAUGACAUGGAGAAAUCUUUGCCUAUGGGAAUAUCCAAACCAUUCACCUCUACCAUCACACUCUUCUUAGUAUCUCCAACUUCAAUAUCCUCGUGAUAUUUCUGUUCCAAUGAAUUCAACCCUAUAUUUGAAGCCCCAUCUAUGGAAUUUCCAUUAACUUCAAGUGCAGAUGGCUGCCCACUUCCUUCUAAUCCCAAUACAGUUAUCUCCUCAAUAAUCCAACCAUUAUCUAAAGCAAAUUUACCCUCCUGAACUUUUGACCAAACCUUUACAGUUCCCUGACUUACACUUGCAUAGAAAUCAAUAUAUGUUGAAUACCCACUUCCAAGUUUCAUUUCUGGAAGCUCAUCAUUAUCAAGGUAAAGGUUCCCUUUGGCUUCUCCAUUACUAGCCCCUGCAGGGAAGGUCACUAUUAGGCUAAACGGGGUCGUUCUAGCUUGUUUAGAAAUCAGACCACCUUGCUGCAUGGGUAGGAUGCUGUUCUGAUACAAAUGCACGUUAACCACAUGUAAAGGGGCAUCGAGGGUGACAUAUUGUCCCCCUUUUGAUGUAAUGGUUUGAGUCGUAUCAAAUACACUGUACCAACUACCUGGAGGAAAGAGUGCUUUAACCUGUGAUUUCCCUUGCUCAAGCACCGGAGACACCAUGAGACUGCUUCCUAACAAGAACUGAGUGCUCAACCCAUAACACACUGUGUAAUUUGGGAAUGAGAAGAAAAGCGGCCUGGCAAUUGGUGCCCCACUCAUAUGAGCCUCGUAGUUCAAUGUGUACAGAUAUGGAAGAAGCUUAUACCUCAUGCCCAGAGCGUUUCUAGCUGAUUCAGCUACGGACUCCCACUGAUAAAGCUCCUGCCUUGGAGAGUAGUAGUUGGCAUGAUCCCUUGAGAAGGGGUAGAAAGCACCUACUUCAAUCCAGCGAUUGCAAAGCUCUUCUGUUGGUGCAGGAUAGAAUCCGCAUAUAUCUGAACCAACCAUUGGCACACCAAAUAUGCCAAAAUUUAACAUAGUAGAUAUUGAGUACCUCAGAUCCUCCCAAGUUCCCUUAUUAUCUCCAGUCCAAUAAGCAACAUAUUUGCCUGAUCCAACAAAUGUAGAGCGUGAUAAAAUAAAUGGUCGCUUGCCCUCAAGCCCUUGAAGGGCCUUGUGAGUGGCAAUAGAUUGAGAGAAUCCAUAUAGACUGUGAGCAUCAUACUCCAAAACGCCAUUAUAGUGGACUGCACUAGUGGCUAUGGUUUUGUACCCUAUUGGCGCUUGUAUCCCUGAAGCGUUUAUCUUGUAAGGUGGAUCAUCCCACUUAGUAGCUGUUAUGUUCUUGCAGUCCAGGCAACAAAUCCAACCAGGUCCAGUGCCGCUAGGACAUUGCUUGCCUUCUGGUAUUGUACAAAGUCCAUAACAAAAGUUUGAGGCUUCAUUCAUGUCAAUCCAUAGGCCAUCAACAGGAACAAGUUCAUGGAAGCGACGGAUUUCAUCACCCCACCAUUCAACGGUUUUUGGAUUGAGGAAGUCAGGAAAAUUGACAGCUCCAGGCCAAACUUGAGCUAAGAAGGGCUUACCAUGAUACUUGAUAAAUACAUCAUUGGCAACGCCUCUUUGAUAUACACCGUAAGUAGAAUUAACACCAAUUCCGGGAUCAAUAAUUACAAUGUACUUCAUUCCAAUGUUGUGUAUUUUCUCUAGGAAUGCUAGGAGCUUUGGACGAGGGUAGUUGGUGGGGUUGAGGGUAAAAUCCUUAUGGACAUCCAUGUGAUCAUCAUCAUUCCAGAUCACAUCCAAAGGGAUCUGAGCCUUUUUGUAAUUCUCGACCACAUCUUCAACCACAGACAGGUUAUGGUAGCCCCAUCUGCACUGGUGGAAUCCUGUAAAACCAAAUGAAAAGAGCAUCCAAAUGGUUUUUCUCAAUUUAUACAAUAAGCAAUUUUAAACAUUUGACGAUUUAGAUGGACAAAAGCUUUUAAAUAAGUAUAAUAUUCCACAACACUCUUGUUUUGCUGAUUGCAAACACUGCUGGCGCUAUUUUUAGUCUAUAGUUAACUUGUAACUUGCACAAAGUUACAUUUGACCCCACAAGUAGAAAAGGAGGGACAAACAAGUGUGAUAUGAUCAUAAAUACUUUCCCCAGACAAAAAAAAUAAAAGAACUGUAGGCAAUCUCAUAAUAAGAAAAAUAGAAAAAUGGAUUGGGCAUUUUGACACAGAGAUACUGCUCUUAAACAUUUUCUUUUCAUAUGAUUGGCUCCAAAAGAACUGGAACUUGAGAUAUCACAACCCUGGAGACGACAUCAAUAGAUCCUAAACAUUUUUAUUUAUUCAAGCAAUAAGAAAAUUUCAACAACUCAACUUCUUAGUUCAAUCAUAUAAUUUGCAUAUUCUGUGUAUUUUCCAUGAUGAAGAAAGCAAUUCAAACAGCUUUUUCCUGAGGUGGGUGAAUGAAAGAUCUUUUAUACUAGGAAAAUAUACUUGAGAUAAGAUGGCUAAAUUGUGGAAAUAAAUCUAGCAACUUUAACAAAAUGCAAGAACUAAUAAACCAAAUUUUAACAUCAACAUUUUAAAAGAAAUGCAACCCAUAUUCCUGGAGUUACGUGUGACAAACCUCAGGCUUCACAUGUGCCCAUGCCAGCCUACCCACUAACAUUUAUUAAUUAUUUCAAGCAAUGUCCACUCUGCACCGUCACUAAUUUCAGCUGAAAAAAGGGCCAAAGGUUGGAGUGACUAAUAAACCAGAGAAUCACAUAAAAGACGACAAGGCUGUGGCGGACUUGGAUUUAUACAUACGUUUCUCAUUCAUCCUCUGACAUGAAAAAUGUCCAUAAGCGAGGAAACACAAUAGAAAUACAUUCCCCACCACCACUAAGGUUAGUCUCAAUCUUAUGGUACACGGCAGCCAUAGAUGCAAAGAACAGGAUCAUAAUACAGAGGCCUAAGAAAAUGUCAACACACUAACAUCAUGUGGGGCCUAUGUGAGCAAUGACCAUGACAAUGUGUCAAUGUUCAUGGGUCCGAGUUAGUAAUUGUCAAUACAGAGAGAUAGCUAUAAGUAUUGGAUUGAUUAAUUUCCACCUCAUACAUAGAAGAUGAAAAUUUUGGAAAAGUCUUGGAGGAUAGAAUGAUAUGCAACAGUGGAGUAACAGUUCUCCGGGUCCCCUACUUGCUUUGCACAAAAACAUUUACAAAAUCUAUCAACAAAGCAGAAAACUUUCAACAUUGAGAUGGUCCGAGAAAGAUGUCGUUACCAGUAAUAGAAAACUAACAAUCCAUUCAAAAGGAGAACUUUUCAGAACUAAAAAGUUUCUGGAGAAACGCAACAAAAUCUGUUAGGUGGGAGCUUUUAAGCAUUACAAUAAAGUAAAACAAAUCCCGGACCAACCCCACCAACCCAAAUUAAAAAAAAAGACAACCUACAACAACACGCGUAUGGCAUAUGAGCAGGCAGCACAUCACCAAAUCACACCGUCAAUCAACAUUUGCGAGUCCUAAUUACGCUUAACACCAAACUCAUUCUUCUACAUAAUUCCUAAGGUCAAUUUUAAUGAUAAAGAUUGAGAAUCAUAUGUAUUGACAAAAAAUAAUGGGUGUCUAAUCUAAUAUAGUGGUGUAUAUUCCAUAUCUGAUAAUAAACACCGUAAUCAUUAAGAAAAUAAACGCAAAGCAAGACACGAAACCAGUAAAAUGAAACAGCUUAAAACAGAAAGGCACCACUGCUCUAGUAAAACACAAGCCAAGGAAGCAUUUCUCUAGUCAAUAAAGACCAUUACUAGCAAGCAUACACUAAAUUGAAUCAAGGAAAGGGAGUUGAGAUUGAAUCAUACCAAGAGCCCAGUAAGGCAUAGGAGCAGGUCGACCUAUUAAAGCUGUGUAUUGGUCGACGACAGCUAAUGGAGAGGGUCCAGCGAAGAAGUAUAAGUCGAGAACACCCCCAAUAAUCUUGUACGUGAGCG